This 1486-nucleotide long non-coding RNA is filed under the name Bemisia tabaci. RNAcentral describes it as "lncRNA ENSSSA3NGG002418". The record is from RNAcentral. Lineage: Eukaryota; Metazoa; Arthropoda; Insecta; Hemiptera; Aleyrodidae.
GACGCGGGCCUAAGAGAACGCAAAGCGCCCUCUAGGGGUUUGGCCGCGUAGCGGCCAGGGGCAUAGCCCUCUACUUUUUUAAUAAGACACUGCACGUUAAAUUCAAAAUUGUUUAAAAAUAAUCAUACACUCCUAACAUACUGUAAGAACGCCUUAUGAAUAAGCGAGCAAUAAUUUGACUACAUUUUGCAAUUUGGAACUAUAAAUUCUAGCCAGGUUUUAAAACAACGCAUGUGCCAUUAGUUUCCCUAUGCACAUACGUGUUUUUCCAGAAGAGCCAGAAUUUAUAGUUCCAAAUUGCAAAAUGCAGUCCAAUUAAACUUUGAAAAAUGUAUUUCCGCAAUUUAUUUUACUUGCUUGCAGAAUCCUUAAAUCGCACAUUUGGCAGGGUCUCUGAAUUUUUCGCAUUUAAUAUUCAUUUUUUACACCAUCUGACAGGUACUACCCCGCCAAAUUAAAUAUGAAUUCUGUCAGUUCAGUGAUCAAACGAGUGUGCCUGCCAAAAAAAGGUGAACGGUCAGCCAUUCAAUAUCGGAUCCAACUCAUAGAUGAUUCUUUGGUGGAAGGAAGUGUAGAGUUUAUGGAGAGAAGACUAAUGGCUUCGAAGAAAUCACACAUGACAAUUACCUCACAUCUCGGUUUCUCGUCAGAUAAAGAGGCUGUGGACGAAUUCAAGAGUUUAUGGAGAAAAUAUUUCUCCGAGGGAAUCUCCGUAGUAGCUUUGCUUGAGGAUGAUUUUGGAAAUCAAGGACCUGUGAUCGCGUGUAAUGUGCUGUACAAAGAGAGUAUGUCAGAAACAGAAUUCCGGACGGAUCCAAUGAGACUACUCGAUCAAACAAUGGCCGACGCGAGAAAACAUGUGGACGUACUCAAAACUUUCAACUGCGCCGAUUACAUCAACUCCGGUGGCUUUUCGGUGGCGAGCGACUUCCAGAGUCAGGGCAUCGCGACAGAACUCUUAAGGGCGCGUGCCGAAGUCUGCCGGCUCACCAACAACCCGGUCUCCGCGAACGUCUUUACCGGUCCCCGCACCCAAAGGCGGCCGCAAAAAUCGGCUUCCGAACACUUUCGGAGCUCGACCUCAGCAAGUAUCGAAUAGACGAUAAGAUCGUAUAUCCCGAAGCCGGCGGGUGGCCCACCAUCAAGUUCAUGGCCCAAAAAUAUUUUUAGGAGAAAAUAUUCGGAUUUAGGCGCGUAUGAUGUAAUUGAGUUGCAGUAUUGCCAUCAUUUUGACACCAACCGUUGAAUGUAUCAAGUCCCACAAGGGCUUUUAGGAAAUAGCCCGCCGGUGUCGCUUCAAAUGUCAAGCUUGUCAUAUAUCUGAUAAUGCCAGCUAAUGCCUAGAUCCUUUGAGUUGAUAAUUUUCUGCAGAUUCUAAUAGUUGUUAAAUUAUAAAGACGAUUUGGUACAUUUUUAUAAAAAUGAAAUGAUUAGGUAGCACCAGUUAUUAUUUAUAUCAUGCUUAAGGUGUAUGAAUAAAUUGUGU